RNAcentral lists this ribosomal RNA (1321 nucleotides) under Mycobacterium kubicae. RNAcentral's name for it is "16S ribosomal RNA". It matches the Rfam family "Bacterial small subunit ribosomal RNA", at positions 44 to 1378 of the family's 1533-position model. Lineage: Bacteria; Bacillati; Actinomycetota; Actinomycetes; Mycobacteriales; Mycobacteriaceae. The record is from RNAcentral.
GUGCUUAACACAUGCAAGUCGAACGGAAAGGCCCCUUCGGGGGUACUCGAGUGGCGAACGGGUGAGUAACACGUGGGUGAUCUACCCUGCACUUCGGGAUAAGCCUGGGAAACUGGGUCUAAUACCGGAUAGGACCAUGAGAUGCAUGUCUUAUGGUGGAAAGCUUUUGCGGUGUGGGAUGGGCCCGCGGCCUAUCAGCUUGUUGGUGGGGUGACGGCCUACCAAGGCGACGACGGGUAGCCGGCCUGAGAGGGUGUCCGGCCACACUGGGACUGAGAUACGGCCCAGACUCCUACGGGAGGCAGCAGUGGGGAAUAUUGCACAAUGGGCGCAAGCCUGAUGCAGCGACGCCGCGUGGGGGAUGACGGCCUUCGGGUUGUAAACCUCUUUCAGCAGGGACGAAGCGCAAGUGACGGUACCUGCAGAAGAAGCACCGGCCAACUACGUGCCAGCAGCCGCGGUAAUACGUAGGGUGCGAGCGUUGUCCGGAAUUACUGGGCGUAAAGAGCUCGUAGGUGGUUUGUCGCGUUGUUCGUGAAAACCGGGGGCUUAACCCUCGGCGUGCGGGCGAUACGGGCAGACUGGAGUACUGCAGGGGAGACUGGAAUUCCUGGUGUAGCGGUGGAAUGCGCAGAUAUCAGGAGGAACACCGGUGGCGAAGGCGGGUCUCUGGGCAGUAACUGACGCUGAGGAGCGAAAGCGUGGGGAGCGAACAGGAUUAGAUACCCUGGUAGUCCACGCCGUAAACGGUGGGUACUAGGUGUGGGUUUCCUUCCUUGGGAUCCGUGCCGUAGCUAACGCAUUAAGUACCCCGCCUGGGGAGUACGGCCGCAAGGCUAAAACUCAAAGGAAUUGACGGGGGCCCGCACAAGCGGCGGAGCAUGUGGAUUAAUUCGAUGCAACGCGAAGAACCUUACCUGGGUUUGACAUGCACAGGACGCGUCUAGAGAUAGGCGUUCCCUUGUGGCCUGUGUGCAGGUGGUGCAUGGCUGUCGUCAGCUCGUGUCGUGAGAUGUUGGGUUAAGUCCCGCAACGAGCGCAACCCUUGUCUCAUGUUGCCAGCGGGUAAUGCCGGGGACUCGUGAGAGACUGCCGGGGUCAACUCGGAGGAAGGUGGGGAUGACGUCAAGUCAUCAUGCCCCUUAUGUCCAGGGCUUCACACAUGCUACAAUGGCCGGUACAAAGGGCUGCGAUGCCGCGAGGUUAAGCGAAUCCUUUUAAAGCCGGUCUCAGUUCGGAUCGGGGUCUGCAACUCGACCCCGUGAAGUCGGAGUCGCUAGUAAUCGCAGAUCAGCAACGCUGCGGUGAAUACGUUCCCGGG